This 629-nucleotide ribosomal RNA is filed under the name uncultured marine eukaryote. RNAcentral's name for it is "bacterial SSU rRNA". It matches the Rfam family "Eukaryotic small subunit ribosomal RNA", at positions 618 to 1095 of the family's 1831-position model. The record is from RNAcentral.
UGUUAAAAAGCUCGUAGUUGGAUCAAGGGUCGGACAGUGCACGGUGGCCCUGUUUGCUCGCUUUGGCUCCGGUCAGGGUGGCGGCAGCGGAACUACCCCGUGCAUCAAACUGUCCGCUCUAACAGGCCGAAGCGGUUCCCUGUGAGUAGACACCUUAAUUGGGGUUGGAAGCGCCUACGCAUCAACCACAUGCAUACGGGACGUCGGCCAAUGUUACUGUGAACAAACCAGCGUGUCCAAAGCAGGCUUGCCUGAAUGUUCGAGCAUGGAAUAACAAGGGAUCGAUUAUCUCGGUUCUUUUUGUUGGUUUUUAACCCGAGAAGGAGUAAUGCAGGCCACGGUGUCUGAGGUGGGUUUCCCUAGGCUUCGGUUUAGGCCCCAUCUAGGCCGUGUCCUUACGGGAUCAAUAGGGACUGACGGGGUCGUACCUACUUCCGCGUCAGAGGUGAAAUUCUUAGAUCGCGGGAAGAGGAACUUCUGCGAAAGCAUUCGACAAGAAUGUCUUCAUUAAUCAAGAACGAGAGUGUGGGGAUCGAAGAUGAUCAGAUACCGUCGUAGUCCACACUGUAAACAAUGCCGUCUCAGGAUUGAGAAGUGAACCUAAUGACUUUCACAGCACUAACCCCUGA